This is a long non-coding RNA of Oncorhynchus tshawytscha (Chinook salmon), 780 nucleotides long. The record is from Ensembl. Lineage: Eukaryota; Metazoa; Chordata; Actinopteri; Salmoniformes; Salmonidae.
CCCUGGUCUAUGCAGACAGCUCAUCAAGAGAAGGCUUGAUUUACUUUGUUGAUAUGGCAGUAUGCACCCCGCUAGAGGCUAUACUGAUUACUCUGCAUAUUAAUUUGGUCAGUGCAUUUAUCUAGCCUUUCUCUUUUGUCUAUGAGGAGGAUGGAGGCUGAUGACACUGGGGAAAAGCUGGCAGAGAAAGGACUUUUCUGUAGAAGUAUCUUAUAUCACUUAUAACUGCUUCCCUGUGCUCCUAGGUCUGAAGGAAACAUGCUUCACAGUGAUUGCUAACUGCUUCCCUGUGCUCCUAGGUCUGAAAGUAACAUGCUUCACAGUGAUUGCUAACGGCUUCCCUGUGCUCCUAGGUCUGAAAGAAACAUGCUUCACAGUGAUUGCUAACGGCUUCCCUGUGGUCCUAGGUCUGAGAGAAACAUGCUUCACAGUGAUUGCUAACUGCUUCCCUGUGGUCCUAGGUCUGAGAGAAACAUGCUUCACAGUGAUUGCUAACGGCUUCCCUGUGGUCCUAGGUCUGAGAGAAACAUGCUUCACAGUGAUUGCUAACGGCUUCCCUGUGGUCCUAGGUCUGAGAGAAACAUGAUUGCCAAAGAAAACGUAUUUGUUGUAUGUUUGUCAGCAAAACCAUUAUCCUAAAUUCAUUAAUUAUUCAUAUUAUUCCUGUGCUUGCUAAUUUUGCCAAGUGUGAUUAAUAUUUGGUUUGGUUUAGUUCCAUCACAGACUUCAAACUGUCUGAUGUGUGUUUUAUGUGUGCUGCUGAUAAUUGCACAGUGAGAU